RNAcentral lists this ribosomal RNA (305 nucleotides) under uncultured bacterium. RNAcentral's name for it is "bacterial SSU rRNA". It matches the Rfam family "Bacterial small subunit ribosomal RNA", at positions 337 to 634 of the family's 1533-position model. The record is from RNAcentral.
GCCUACGGGGGGCAGCAGUAGGGAAUCUUCCACAAUGGGCGAAAGCCUGAUGGAGCAACGCCGCGUGGGUGAAGAAGGUCUUCGGAUCGUAAAACCCUGUUGUUAGAGAAGAAAGUGCGUGAGAGUAACUGUUCACGUUUCGACGGUAUCUAACCAAAAAGCCACGGCUAACUACGUGCCAGCAGCCGCGGUAAUACGUAGGUGGCAAGCGUUAUCCGGAUUUAUUGGGCGUAAAGGGAACGCAGGCGGUCUUUUAAGUCUGAUGUGAAAGCCUUCGGCUUAACCGGAGUAGUGCAUUGGAAACU